Molecule: ribosomal RNA, 434 nt
Filed under: uncultured Clostridium sp.
Lineage: Bacteria; Bacillati; Bacillota; Clostridia; Eubacteriales; Clostridiaceae
Description: partial 16S ribosomal RNA
Rfam family: Bacterial small subunit ribosomal RNA
Source: RNAcentral
ACGGGAGGCAGCAGUGGGGAAUAUUGCACAAUGGGGGAAACCCUGAUGCAGCGACGCCGCGUGAGUGAAGAAGUAUUUCGGUAUGUAAAGCUCUAUCAGCAGGGAAGAAAAUGACGGUACCUGACCAAGAAGCCCCGGCUAACUACGUGCCAGCAGCCGCGGUAAUACGUAGGGGGCAAGCGUUAUCCGGAUUUACUGGGUGUAAAGGGAGCGUAGACGGUAAUGCAAGUCAGAAGUGAAAGCCCAGGGCUCAACCGUGGGACUGCUUUUGAAACUGCAGUACUGGAGUGCAGGAGAGGUAAGUGGAAUUCCUAGUGUAGCGGUGAAAUGCGUAGAUAUUAGGAGGAACACCAGUGGCGAAGGCGGCUUACUGGACUGUAACUGACGUUGAGGCUCGAAAGCGUGGGGAGCAAACAGGAUUAGAUACCCUGGUA